GGGGUUGUGGCUCAGUGGUAGAGUGCUUGCCUGGCUCGUAAGAGAUACUGAGUUGGAUCCUCAGCACCA
This 69-nucleotide transfer RNA is filed under the name Ictidomys tridecemlineatus (thirteen-lined ground squirrel). Its description in RNAcentral is "Spermophilus tridecemlineatus (thirteen-lined ground squirrel) tRNA". It matches the Rfam family "tRNA". From Rfam's summary of the family: Transfer RNA (tRNA) molecules are approximately 80 nucleotides in length. Their secondary structure includes four short double-helical elements and three loops (D, anti-codon, and T loops). Further hydrogen bonds mediate the characteristic L-shaped molecular structure. tRNAs have two regions of fundamental functional importance: the anti-codon, which is responsible for specific mRNA codon recognition, and the 3' end, to which the tRNAs corresponding amino acid is attached (by aminoacyl-tRNA synthetases). tRNAs cope with the degeneracy of the genetic code in two manners: having more than one tRNA (with a specific anti-codon) for a particular amino acid; and 'wobble' base-pairing, i.e. permitting non-standard base-pairing at the 3rd anti-codon position. The record is from Rfam by way of RNAcentral. Lineage: Eukaryota; Metazoa; Chordata; Mammalia; Rodentia; Sciuridae.